GUCUAUGGCCAUACCACCUGAACAUGCCCGAUCUCGUCUGAUCUUGGAAGCUAAGCAGGGUCGGGCCUGGUUAGUACUUGGAUGGGAGAAGGAAGGAAGAAAGAUCUGCACCAUUGCUU
RNAcentral lists this ribosomal RNA (119 nucleotides) under Erinaceus europaeus (western European hedgehog). The record is from RNAcentral. Lineage: Eukaryota; Metazoa; Chordata; Mammalia; Eulipotyphla; Erinaceidae.